Molecule: long non-coding RNA, 5079 nt
Organism: Haemorhous mexicanus (house finch)
Lineage: Eukaryota; Metazoa; Chordata; Aves; Passeriformes; Fringillidae
Exons: 2
Source: RefSeq, a predicted model, not a curated record
GGCAGCCGGACCGCGGCCGCCGGGAGAGCGCGGCCCGGGGGCGCACGGAGCCGUCGGAUAGCGGAGAGCGAGGAGCCGCCCCAGCCCCGGCCCGGGUGCCGCUCCCCGCCCGGCCCCUGCCCCGGGCAGCCCGCCAGAUGCUGCUGCCUGCCAUGAUGCUCUGUGUGAUUUGUGCCAUGCCCCAAGGACAAAGGGGAGAGAUCCUUGUUUUGGACAGGUCCUGCAGUGCCUCCUCCACCAGUCUCCCUCCACAGAAACCCAGCUGGGCCUUAACCAUGGCAGUUCCUGACCAAAGCCCUUAGUAACUGCUACGAUAUAAAGCAAUUUUUUUCUCUAGCUCUUCUAACUUAUCCACCAGGCUGAUCUAGUCCUUAUCUGCCUUGGUAUUAGCCAGGGGGAAAACUGGUAAUUUUUGUCCUGUAGUAGGUGUUGCAUGUGGACAGUGUCCAAGGAAGUCUUGCCAAAUGUCAUUGUCCUCCCACAGGAGCCCUGGGUGUUUAGUUUUUCUGCAUAUUAAAUGUUUGGGGAAGAGUGACUUAGCUUUUGCUUUUUGAAAAAAUAAUGUUGAAAAUACCACCUUCAUUAGUCAUUUUUACCAUGCAAGUGGCUUUUCCUGGAGCAGGUCCCUGUGAGAUCCAUCCUACAGAGUGUAGGGUUGCUGCCUAGGUACACCUGGCCUAGCUGGAUUCCCUCUUAGUCUGUGUUUCCCAUGAACAUGCAGUCUCAUUCUGAAAGGCAGCCUUGGAGGUGGAUUCUCUUGGGCUGGUACCUGAGCAAGGUACAUGCUUUGAAGUGCCAGUACAUGCAUCUCUGUGAUUGUGGAGGAGGCUUGUACCCAGCGAUGUUUGGGUGGGUAUUUCCUUCCUAAGUCUUCUGCACAUCUCUUUCAAGGAGGAUGUGUUCACACCCAUUUAUUUCAGUGCAAAGGUGAUCCAAAGGGCUUGGGCAGCUCACUGAAUUGGUAUAAAAACUUGGAUGAUGUGACAAUCAGGUGGCCAUGCUUGGCUUUAAAAAGAUUUCACUGACAGAGUCUGAAUGAAUUAACUCUCUGGGGUUCAAACCAGCAGGCAUUGUCAGAUACAAGGGAUUAAAAGCCUUUUUAAUGUGGCUUAGUAGUGUACAGAAGAUUGGCUUACUUGUAUGAGCUCUUCUUUUGUCACAUUGAUCUUUAUUUUGCAUUGUGCUUAGCACAACAGAAACUGGAGGCUGAAGUCUUCUUUCCUGAAUCGUCUGAAAGAACUUGGCCCUUUUAUUGCUUAGUAAAAUAUUUCAUUGUGAAGGAGGAAUUGAUUUUUGCCAGUGUAGCCACUGUUGAGUAAUAGCUGAAGAAUACCAAGUUGUAAUAAUUUCAUGAGCACUGUAUGUGGCCAGGUGGGUGAGAGGAAGUUACUAUAUGGUGGGUUGUACUUCUUUAUAUUACUUUCCUGUAUAGAUGUAUUGAUCUAACCUAAUAGGGAGCUAGCUGAUGAAGGAAUAAAAGGCAAUUCAGUGGUUCCCCUGUGUCAGCUGUAUGUGACUAAACCCAUGAGGUGGUAAUUACAGGAAUGAUAGCUCCAGUUCUGAGGGAUGCAGCUGGUUUGUCAGGCUGUAAACUAAAAAUCACAGGAGGAUAAUGUUGGCAGGGACUGAUGGAAGAAAUACUUCAAUACCAAAGCAGACUUUGCAGAAGAGGGUGGAUGAAGAUGGGCCUUCCUCUCUGCAGCAGCGUAAGUCACACAGAAGGAAAGGCAAGUUUCCAAGAAUGAUCAGCUUAUUGUUCUUAAGAUCUUUUUUGUCUUAAAUGCUUUGGUGCUGAGUAAGUGUUUUGUGGUCAGUACUUACAGCCAUUACUUCAUGAGAGAUUAAACUGCGAGGUCUGGGUCUGUCUCGGGUCUGCAGAGGUAGCCAUGGUGGAUGCACUGGGAUGCAACCUGAGAACUGGUCUGCUUGUAGCCAGAAACACAGAUCUGGAGGAACAGUUAACUAGGCACUUGAGACAGCAAAGUGCAAACACAGUCAUAAGUUUUGUUUCUUUUGUCUAUAAAUAAAUAGGUUUUAGGAUAGCGGGUGGGCUUUCACAUACAGGUUUAAUUAAUCUGGUGUUCUGGUGGUUUGUGUUUGUUCUUUUUUUAACAUGGCAUAGUCAAAACCACAGUAUCAAAGGCAGAACAAAUUCAUUAUGUAGACAUUAAUGUAAACAUCCCAGUAGUGGGAUGCUGGUCAGUUCCUGUUUCUCAACUGAAAGGUAAUACAGCAAAAGAGGUUUUUCUUUUGUUGUCCUUUUAUUCAUUAUUUAUUGCACUGUUUUCACCACUUGCUGUAUAUAAUCAAUUGCUUGUCCCCUGGUGUUACCAUGGAUAUUUAAUACAUCAAUGUGGAAAAGAGACACAUUUUUAUGAAAAAGAAAAUGCAGCUACAAAACUCCUCUUGCACUGAAUGGACAGCUGUGCCAUAUUUUAUGUGAAUACAGCCAACAAUGGCUUGUUGUUUCUUGUUCUUGCCUGCCAUCUACACACACAGACAUCCCUCCUGCACCUCAUGUGUCUCGAGGCUGGUGCCCAGGAGGUUCCAUGUAGCUCCUUGUGUCCCUUCUCCCUCCCUGGAGCAGGUGAGAAGGGCCAGAGGCAGGUUUGUAACCUUGAAGCUCAGGAGUACUCAAGGCAAGAAUGGCAGAUGCUGUUGGUUAGAGUGGUCCAGCUUAAACAGGAAUCCAAGACCCUCCCUUAGUCUCUUAUGUCUGGGUUUUUUUGAGAUCAAAGGAGAACAUGGUAUUUUGAAGAAAAUGUGCAAGGGCCCACCCUUCCUGAAUUGCACUCUUGGUUGUAUGUUCUGUCCUGCAGCUGUAAUACUCUACAGAAGGGUUUGGGUUUCUCCCCUCCCUGCCCUCUUUUAAUGUAUUGUGAGAGAAGUUUAAUAGAUGUUUUCACAGGAGUCUCUGAUCCUACACUGCUCUCAUUGUGCCUCUCUCUGUGUUCUGUGAGCAGGGCUGCUGAUCAUUACCAAUUUAAGCCUAGCACCUCUAAUUCAUCUGACGUUCAUGUAAUGUAUUACUUACAUUAGAUGUAGGUGCCAAAACUGACCUGUAAACCUAAAAUGAAAUUGGGACUACAAAAUUAAUUUCAUUUAGAUUCUGAAAAUUAGACUAUAAAUUGAAUUCUUGUGGGAACUCUGUAAAUCUUCUUUGACAUUGAUUUAAUGUAAUUCUUUUCUUAAUAGGGUAACUUUAAAUUGUGUAACCAGCACAUAGUUUUAACCAGCACAUAUUUGUAGCAAGUCUUGCAGUCAGAUGGAAGAUUCUAAGAGGAACAUUCUUUGGUGUUUCUGAAUUCAAGGAUCACACUGUAAAGCUCUAAUGCAGCUGAGUAGACAGGCAGCAUACCCCCUCCCCAGCCCUGAGCAGGUAGGUAAUGACACAAAGCUGUGAUGUCAUUUAUCAGGCAUCUCCAUCCCAUCAAUGAAUUUUAAUUUAUAAAAUGCAUGUGCACAGGAUAACACAAAUUCAGGGUAAAGAUUUAUUUUAUGUUCAAAACUCAAGUCAGAAUCUGAAUUUCAAGGUUAGUACCUGAAUUAGAAUUUCAUGUCAGAAUCAUCAUAGUUAAUCACUAAUCUGGAAAAAAUUUGAAUUAAAGACUUAGUUUUUUAAACUGGAUCCAGGAAUUCAAGAUCUGACAAACUGUGGAACAAAAAUUUGUAUUCUUUUAAUAGAUGGCAAGUAAGUGUGCUUGUCUUACGCAUGAAAUUAAAUUGAGGACUGAAAUUAUUCUGAAUUAUUCAAAUGUUCACGCUCGAGAUGACAGCAUAUUCUGCUUGCUGUGCUGCUUUUUAUCUUAGACAUUUUCUUGUUUUUAAAGAUAACAUGUUCAGGUCUGAUUCUUCAGGUUUAAUUCUGCCUGUGAGUAAAUUCAGAGGGUUGGAUUAACAAAUGCACUGUCUGUGCAUGAGAGCUCGGGCAUUAGAUUCUCUCUGCAGGAGAACAUUUCAGGUACUUGAGAUAAUUUGACCUAUGAAAACAAUAAUUUUGAAUGUUUUACUGCAAAUAACUCAUAAUAGCCUGACAUUCUGUAAAAUGUAUGAUAGUGCUUUUAAACAGGGAAGAAUAUGCUGAAUGCUGGGACAUCUCAAAGCUUGCAUCCAAAAUUACCACUGCAAGGCUGCCUUGCACAACACUUAAUUCAUGUGGGCUUCUAUUAAACAUCCUUCUGUGCCAGUAGAGUUCUUGAAAUGAAUUGAUUCUUCCAGACACAGCAAAAGCUGAUAGCAGGCAGCCCUUGCAUAUUCAUUCUCCUUUCUGCAUGCUCAGUGCUGAUCUUCUGUCUUGUCUGUAUGUCCUUUCCUUCCAAGAAGGCAGGCAUUGCCAUUUCCUUAAUGAAGUCAAGUUCCCUGUUCUUUCUAAGGUUUGAUUCCAAGGAUUGACACGGAACAAGCUUUAAGAUUCUACUGCACUGUAUUUGCAAAGAAAAGUAAAAUGUGACAAAUAGCAAUCCACUUUAAAAUAGAAAAUUGCAUAUAAAACUCCACCGCCACCUAAGACUUGAGAGAGCUUUUGGCAGUUAAAAAUUCACAUUUUUCUCCCAACUCAUAAGAAAGAAUGGUAUGGAAAAUACAUUUUGCACAAAUAGAGUUCCAAAAAUGGAAAAAAAUUGAGAUAAUCUAAAACUUCAUUAACAGAAAUUUAGAACAUCCUGAAUCCUCAUAUUACAGCUUGAUCCAGCCCUGCUCAAUAACGAAAACAGUUUACAAGGGAAGGUAGAUUUGCCUUUCUGGUAAGAUUUAACUUUGUAAUUAAAGGUAAUACUAAUUAAACUUGAGUGUUGCAGAAGCAAAAAUGACAGUCACUGCUUGAGACCUUCCCUGGCAUGACUAGAUGGGACUUUUAGCUACAAGGCAAAGUAUUUACCACCUUACCCUUGCAAUCUACAAUGAAAGUAGCCAUGUAUUAUCUAUAUUCUGUAUUGCAAUCCUAGUAGUGUUAGCUGCUGGGACUAUAAAAACUGUUAAGAAAUGUGAAAAUGUUUAAGCUAUAAAAAGCAUAUUGGCAUGAUUCAGUGGAUGCUCUGAUCAAAACACACUGUGCUUCAAUAAAAAGAGAAUGCAGUUUAA